This 386-nucleotide ribosomal RNA is filed under the name uncultured bacterium. RNAcentral describes it as "bacterial SSU rRNA". It matches the Rfam family "Bacterial small subunit ribosomal RNA", at positions 32 to 407 of the family's 1533-position model. The record is from RNAcentral.
AAUCAACGCUGGCGGCGUGCCUCAGACAUGCAAGUCGAACGAUUAAAGCUCUCUUCGGAGAGUGUAUAGAGUGGCGCACGGGUGAGUAACACGUAAGUAAUCUACCUUCGAGUGGGGAAUAACAGUCGGAAACGACUGCUAAUACCGCAUAAUGCAGCGGCAUUGCAAGAUGACAGUUGUUAAAGGAUUUAUUUCGCUUGAAGAGGAGCUUGCGGCAGAUUAGCUAGUUGGUAAGUAAUGGCUUACCAAGGCUACGAUCUGUAACCGGUCUAAGAGGACGGUCGGUCACACUGACACUGAAUAACGGGUCAGACUCCUACGGGAGGCAGCAGUCGGGAAUUUUGGGCAAGUGGGCGAAAGCCUGACCCAGCAACGCCGCGUGAAGG